Molecule: ribosomal RNA, 407 nt
Filed under: uncultured bacterium
Lineage: Bacteria
Description: partial 16S ribosomal RNA
Rfam family: Bacterial small subunit ribosomal RNA
Source: RNAcentral
GACGAACGCUGGCGGCGUGCCUAAUACAUGCAAGUAGAACGCAGUUGCGCACGGGUGAGUAACGCGUAGGUAAAUGCCUCAUAGCGGGGGAUAAAUAUCGGAAACGAUAGCUAAUACCGCAUACUGUGAGACGGAUCGGCGUUGUAUUAGCUAGUUGGUGAGGUAAAGGGUCACCAGGGCGACGAUACAUUGCCGACCUGAGAGGGGGAACGGCCCAACGGGGAACUGGACAAGGGCCAAACUCCUACCGGAGGCAGGAGUAGGGAAACUUCGGCAAUGGACGGAAGUCUGACCGAGCAACGCCGCGUGAGAGGAGAAGGUUUUCGGAUCUGAAAGCUACUUUGUUAGAGAAGCGGUAACUAACCAGAAAGGGACGGCUAACUCCGUGCCAGCAGCCGCGGUAAUAC